Molecule: ribosomal RNA, 433 nt
Filed under: uncultured bacterium
Lineage: Bacteria
Description: partial 16S ribosomal RNA
Rfam family: Bacterial small subunit ribosomal RNA
Source: RNAcentral
AACGAACGCUGGCGGCAUGCCUAACACAUGCAAGUCGAACGAGACCUUCGGGUCUAGUGGCGCACGGGUGCGUACCGCGUGGGAACCUGCCCUUAGGUUCGGAAUAACUCCCCGAAAGGGGUGCUAAUACCGGAUAAUGUCUUCGGACCAAAGAUUUAUCGCCUUUGGAUGGGCCCGCGUUGGAUUAGCUAGUUGGUAGGGUAAAAGCCUACCAAGGCGACGAUCCAUAGCUGGUCUGAGAGGAUGACCAGCCACACUGGGACUGAGACACGGCCCAGACUCCUACGGGAGGCAGCAGUGGGGAAUAUUGGACGAUGGGCGAAAGCCUGAUCCAGCAAUGCCGCGUGAGUGAUGAAGGCCUUAGGGUUGUAAAGCUCUUUUACCCGGGAUGAUAAUGACAGUACCGGGAGAAUAAGCUCCGGCUAACUCCGUG